GGCAGAGUAGGAACCGGCGCGUUAAGUGCCGCCUGAACGGGGAGUUGUCAGGCGGACGAAAAGAGUUUCUUGCGGUGCCGGUUUCGCAUCCCGCUGCU
Non-coding RNA from Anaerotruncus colihominis DSM 17241, 98 nucleotides. Lineage: Bacteria; Bacillati; Bacillota; Clostridia; Eubacteriales; Oscillospiraceae. The record is from Rfam.